This 748-nucleotide long non-coding RNA is filed under the name Numida meleagris (helmeted guineafowl). RNAcentral describes it as "lncRNA (ENSNMEG00000020152.1)". Lineage: Eukaryota; Metazoa; Chordata; Aves; Galliformes; Numididae. The record is from RNAcentral.
GCACUGCUUCAUUGCCUACACAAAAUUGCUGCUGCAAUUGACUAGGGUGACAGGAUCCAUGCCCAUUUCUAUUUCAGUUUGCCCUAUACUCAUACUUUUUUCUUUUUUCCUCCCUGUUCCUUCAGCGAGCAAAUUGGGUGAUAAGGGAUUGCAUGUUCCAACAAAUGAACAUGAAGUGCUGACUCCUUGAAUUCAUCACAUCUUCCGUGAAGAACAACAUUCUCCUCUCAUGCAGUGCUUACAGUAAUGCUCAGACUCCUGAGGGCACCUGGGGACCACUGGCAUUGGACACUGUUGGCAGAGGGAGCAGCACUGCGAUCUCCUACUUACUGCUUCAGCUGAGGUUGGGGAGACUGAGUUAGAGGCCACUUCCAUAUGAUCUCAUCUCCACAGCAAACUUGGUGAGAGCUCAGUUCUUCUGCUCCCCAAAAACCCAGUCCUUAGCAGUCAACUUGGAGAAAAAGCUGCCCUUGCAGCCCAGAUCCCUGGCCACUUCUUGGACUAUUACGGCUGUCAGCUGGGGGUCCAGCUCUGCUCCUUGCUCAUCUCUCUCAAGAGGACUGCUGAAGUCUCCUCUUCACUCAAACGCGAUCGCUACUCAUUUGAUGGCAAAACUCCUUUUGACUUCAGUGGCACAGUAUCAAGCUUGAUGUGCCCAGUGGACUGCGGAAACCUUGGACAAGUAUGCACAGGAGAAAAGAGCCAAUUGUAACAUUAGCUAUGGAAAUAAAAACCUUCCAACAAGACA